This 460-nucleotide ribosomal RNA is filed under the name uncultured bacterium. RNAcentral describes it as "partial 16S ribosomal RNA". It matches the Rfam family "Bacterial small subunit ribosomal RNA", at positions 338 to 795 of the family's 1533-position model. The record is from RNAcentral.
CCUACGGGAGGCAGCAGUGAGGAAUAUUGGUCAAUGGACGGAAGUCUGAACCAGCCAAGCCGCGUGCCGGAAGACGGCUCUAUGAGUUGUAAACUUCUUUUGUACAAGAGUAAAGCUUAAGACGUGUACUCAGUUGUAUGUACUUUACGAAUAAGGAUCGGCUAACUCCGUGCCAGCAGCCGCGGUAAUACGGAGGAGCCGAGCGUUAUCCGGAUUUAUUGGGUUUAAAGGGUGCGUAGGCGGAUUGUUAAGUUAGCGGUGAAAUGUCGGGGCUUAACCCUGGAACUGCCUGUGAUACUGGUGGUCUAGAGGAUAGAUGCGGUAGGCGGAAUGCAUGGUGUAGCGGUGAAAUGCUUAGAGAUCACGCAGAACCCCGAUUGCGAAGGCAGCUUACCAAUCCAUAUCUGACGUUGAGGCACGAAAGCGUGGGGAGCAAACAGGAUUAGAUACCCGGGUAGUC